Long non-coding RNA from Pteronotus mesoamericanus, 822 nucleotides. RefSeq lists it as uncharacterized. The transcript is spliced from 5 exons. NCBI's taxonomy places the organism in Eukaryota, Metazoa, Chordata, Mammalia, Chiroptera, Mormoopidae. The record is from RefSeq and is a predicted model, not a curated record.
CUCCAGGAGGCCUCAGCUCUCAGACUGGAAGUGCUGUGUCUUCCUGUUGCUGGCGGCAGGAGCAGUAGGAAUAAGGUGUUAGGUUAGAAAGGAGCAAAAGCUGACUUGAAGCAAGAAAGAGCUAACGUGGGUAAACUCACUAAUUAAUAUCUGGGUUCCCUUGGUUGGAGAACCGAGUUUCAUUUUCUUACAAACGCUGGGCAGUCAGAUGCCCUACCCGAUGUCUUUUAACCCACAACAAAUGCAGAAUGCUUGAAGCUGGACCAAAUUUGGGGUUAUCUCCAUUUGCCUGGGCCUUUAAUAACCAGUCAAUUCUGUUCAAACUUGGGCCACACCCCUGGUAAAAAUGUGCUUGUGCAGACAAACUGGAUAUUUUCAAAUACUUCUGGUUUAACAGGUAGUUUCUAAUCUGACUAUUGAAUGCUGGUGUGACUGGGAGGAACAGUGCGGUGUUUGCAACUCAUCUCCGGUGCGGCAGCAAUUCUGAGAUGCACCUGCAGGAUAUGUUUUAUUGAUUUUGAGAGAAAGGAAGAGAGACAUCAAUGUGAGAGAGAAGCAUCGAUUGGUUGCCUCCUGUAGUGCCCUGACUGGAGAUUGAACAUGCAACAUAGGGAAUCAGAAGAGAAUGAAACAUAUGAAGACCCUGCAGAGAACAGCAUACUGCCUGAGGGUCCCAGAAUGCUGCAAAGUGGAACCUUUUGUUAGGGGAUGCAGAUUUCUCAGAGUUUUUAACUUACUAAAGGACAUUGUGAUUUCCAAAAGCAAACUAUUUGGCCAGAAAGCACUUUUCCCUUCAGACAUCAAACGGACCUAGACAGUCAU